AUUAGCGCUACUUUACCAAGACAGGUUUAUAUGUGUAUGAUCUUCAGGCUUUGCCUAACCAGGUGGCUUACUUCCAAAUGUACAAAGUAUGAUUGAGUUAUUAAGCUCUAAAUGUUUCAAUGAAAUGCAAAUUGUUUAUUUAAUAUAAUGAAAACUGUUUAUCCAAUAAAAUAUUUUGUGCACUCUGCUCCGUUUAAGGCUCGCAACAAUGAAUCGAUCGAGGUUCUCUCUUGACCUAACACGUUAUUUGAGAAUUGUGUACACCUAUUAGCUGACCUGGUGGGUUGAUCUCCAUCGGGCACUAAUCAUGUAUGAGGCGUUAUAAGGGUGCUCGACGGGAUGUGUUCCGGAGCAUUGGGUCCCAAAUGAGAACUUGGCUGGGUUACGCCCUCAGUCCAAGUAAAGCAGGAGUAAUGGAUCCGUCGGUGGCUAAAAGGUCCGGGAUCACAGCGAGUAACGGAAAUGGAGUGUGACAUGUGCGCACAAAUGAAAAAUGUUUUAACAUCUUAGAAGUUAUUUCAUUUUAAAACCUUCUAAGUCAUGUCAAGUAUAAUUGGAUAAACUGCUCUUACGAAAAUAUGAAAUGUUUAUGAAAAUGCAUGCCCACUAAGUACAUUAGUACUUAGCCCAAAAAUACUUUCAAAUGUUUUCAGGUUGGCUGGCUGGUGCUGACGGGACGGAGCUGAGGCUAGAGUUAAAAUUCUAUAUGUUAGACUUCCGCUGUAGCAAUUACUCUUAUACAUCUUUGUUUUCUCAACUUAAGAUGACUUCAUGUCGAGCUUAAAUUUGAAAUUCUAGUUUUAUGCUAAUGAAUGUUGGUUGUCAGAAACAUGAACAAAACUUGUGAUCCAAAGGGGCAUAGCCCGACUUUCUAUCCUAUUUCGGGUUUU
This 890-nucleotide long non-coding RNA is filed under the name Salvia miltiorrhiza (redroot sage). Its description in RNAcentral is "long non-coding RNA (SMIL_LNC007962)". Lineage: Eukaryota; Viridiplantae; Streptophyta; Magnoliopsida; Lamiales; Lamiaceae. The record is from RNAcentral.